GGAAGUAAAAGCCGUAACAAGGUUUCCGUAGGUGAACCUGCGGAAGGAUCAUUAAUGAGUUGUCAUGGGGUUCGUUGCUGGCAGCCAGUUUUUGGAUGCAUGUGCUUGCCCUAACAAUAAUCUUCUUCCAAACACCUGUGCACAUUUUUGAGGGAGUCUUGAGUUGGUUGCCGCUCUUGGGUGAUUUUCUCACAUUCCCUUAAAUCAUUAUACGCUAUUAACAAUGUUGAACGUGCUCUGUGCCGCAAGGCCAUUAAUAUAAUACAACUUUUAACAACGGAUCUCUUGGCUCUC
Molecule: unclassified non-coding RNA, 294 nt
Filed under: plant metagenome
Description: partial contains small subunit ribosomal RNA, internal transcribed spacer 1, and 5.8S ribosomal RNA
Rfam family: Eukaryotic small subunit ribosomal RNA (bases 1-54)
Source: RNAcentral